RNAcentral lists this ribosomal RNA (495 nucleotides) under uncultured bacterium. RNAcentral's name for it is "partial 16S ribosomal RNA". It matches the Rfam family "Bacterial small subunit ribosomal RNA", at positions 28 to 507 of the family's 1533-position model. The record is from RNAcentral.
GACGAACGCUGGCGGCGUGCCUAAUACAUGCAAGUAGAACGCUGAAGGAGGAGCUUGCUUCUCCGGAUGAGUUGCGAACGGGUGAGUAACGCGUAGGUAACCUGCCUGGUAGCGGGGGAUAACUAUUGGAAACGAUAGCUAAUACCGCAUAACAGUAGAUAUUGCAUGAUAUCUGCUUGAAAGGUGCAAUUGCAUCACUACCAGAUGGACCUGCGUUGUAUUAGCUAGUUGGUGGGGUAACGGCUCACCAAGGCGACGAUACAUAGCCGACCUGAGAGGGUGGUCAGCCGCACUGGGACUGAGACACGGCCCAGGCUCCUACGGGAGGCGGCAGGAGGGAAUCGUCGGCAAUGGACGGAAGUCUGACCGAGCAACGCCGAGGGAGUGAAGAAGGUUGUCGGAUCGUAAAGCUCUGUUGUAAGAGAAGAACGAGUGUGAGAGUGGAAAGUUCACACUGUGACGGUAGCUUAACAGAAAGGGACGGCUAACUACGUG